Long non-coding RNA from Globicephala melas (long-finned pilot whale), 4685 nucleotides. RefSeq lists it as uncharacterized. Lineage: Eukaryota; Metazoa; Chordata; Mammalia; Artiodactyla; Delphinidae. The record is from RefSeq and is a predicted model, not a curated record.
UCUCACUGUUGUGGCCUCUCCCGUUGUGGAGCACAGGCUCCAGACGCCCAGGCUCAGCGGCCAUGGCUCACGGGCCCAGCCACUCCACAGCAUGUGGGAUCUUCGCGGACUGGGGCACGAACCCGUGUCCCCUGCAUCGGCAGGCAGACUCUCAACCACUGCGCCACCAGGGAAGCCCAAAGCUUACUCUAUACCUUUUUCACUGAGUUUAUUUUUAAUUAAGGCUCCCUUCUGAAUUGUGCACCUAUGUCUGGUAUCAGAGACCAAAGAAUGGAAGCAAGAAGCAAGGACAUAGAGAAGUAAACCUAGAAUUGGGAAGCGCUUCAGAUUUCAUCUUUCAAGAGAGAGAAGUAACAAACCUGCACCCAGAGAAGGAAGUGGAGGAUGUUUUGGUGGUGAUGAGGUUAUGUUCUUAGGCUCCCUAGAAUCCUUGCUGCUCCCUGGAAAUGCUGUCCUUUUAUGCCACAUGUCUUCCUCAUGCUGUGUCUGAGCCUGGAAGGUCUGUCUCCUUGUCCACACAGCAAACUCAUGGUCUCCCUUCAGAGACAGAUCUCCUCUUCUGUUCCCUGACACAUCUAUCCUGGGUAACCUGCAUUGACUAACAGCUGUAACAGAGGUACGCAGGCCUCUCACUGCCGUGGCCUCUCCCGCUGCGGAGCACAGGCUUCGGGCGCGCAGGCUCAGCGGCCAUGGCUCGCGGGCCCAGCCGCUCCGCGGCAUGUGGGAUCUUCCCGGACUGGGGCAUGAACCCGUGUCCCUUGCAUCGGCAGGCGGACUCUCAACCACUGUGCCACCAGGGAAGUCCAGAGACUGUGUGAAGUAUUUCAUAGUAAUAAAAGAGAAAGAAAUAUCUCCAAUGACAAUGUGUAGAUUCUUUUGGAGGAGUAAGUCUGGGGAUAAGAAGACCAAUUAACCUGGUUAAGAAGCAGUGGCAAUAAGCUCCCACUGCCAAACGCACCAGAAGCCAGAGGGCAAGGGAACUUGGGUGAUGAUGCAGCCUGUAAGAAUCAGCCUUCGAGGGCUCAGAGCAAGACAGAGAAGGGUGGAGAAUCGAUCCUUGGUGGAUGUGAGGGGAUACCAAUGGAGAAUAGCCAGGAUAGCCAUGUUUGGUCCAAGAGUGAGAACAUAACUUGAUCCCUGUCAGCAGGACGAUGCUGUGCUAUGACUAGCUCAGCCUAGACUAUGGGUCACAGGCCGGGGGAAGAGGGUUUGUUACCAGAGGCAGGAAAUUAGGAAACUUGCUAGGCCUUGAAAAUCUACUACAAAGUCCAAAUGAAUAGUCUACUACAGUCAUGCAUGCAGAUGUAGUAGGAAAACCACAGGAGUGCUUACUUCAGAAGAGGAUGUAGUGAGGAGAGAAGAUGGACAAAGCCAAAGAUAUACCCAAUUAAAGUACUGACAUUUAGGGAAGAACUCUCAGAAGAAGAAAUGCUUACAAAGUGACUGAGAAUAAGCAACCAGAUUGGUAGGAGGAACACAAGAGUGUGGUCUUACUAAAGCCGAGGGAGCAGAGAGUUUCAAGAAGACAAUGGUCAAGAGUGUAAAAUGCCAAACUAAUAACACCAAGUGGAAGCGUGUAAGUGGGAAAGGGGAAGACGAGGAGGAGAAAACAGUUAUAGCUUUGGAGAUGACUGAAUUCCCUGAAAGGGUGCACUGAAAGGAAAGAAAGAAGAGAGCCGUGGGACGAUGAUGAAAUGAUAAUAACACAGAUAGUCAGGAAAGAACAGAAAAGGUCAACUCAGUACAUCCCGACCCCAAAAAGCUUUGUGGGGAAUAAGAUCUGGAUUAUAUCUGAUAAUUACAGUCAUUUAAAAACAGAAAUGGAUUCUUAUAUUAUCCUCUUUCAGUUACAUCUUUACGUGGACCCAUUAGAUUCUGGAGCCUCCCAUAACUUUCUCCAUCUUCGAAUUAUAGCCCAUCAAACUGUCUUUCUAGGGGGAAGAAGGAGAGGGGAACUGCCAUCCAGCGGCAGAGUGAGGCAUGGAAGACAAAGGUGGUGACAGAGCACAGCUGGGGCACAGGAGGCCCAGAUCGAAGUCCCAGUUCUGCCAUGACCACAUUGCUAAACACAGGGCCACUUGCCCAUGUCCAUAGGCCUCAUUUGGGGUUGGAUUGGGUGCUCCCUAGUGCUGCUUUCAUCUUUGACUAUCUGUGGCUCUGAUCCUGAAGGGCAGGGAGGGAAACUCCUAAGGGUUCUGUGAAAGCAGCAUCCCUUGAUCAGCAAGGGUGCUCCCUGGUGAAUAGGUCUAGCAAAGACCCCUGAAGCAUUUCAUUCUCAGUGCUCACAGAUGUGCUACCUGACAGGGGUCUUUGGGAGGUACUCUCCUCAAAACUCAGAGCAGAUUCUAGGGCCCUUCACCAGCUUCUCUUUCCACAGGUCGAUGUGGAGCAAAGGUGCCUGCUCAGCAGGCAAGGAGAGAGCCCUUAGCAGGCAAGGAGCUGGCUCAGUGCCUAGAGCAGGUGCUCAGAAAACGGGCAGGGCGUGGCCUGCGCUGGAUGGAAAGUCUGAGGCCGGGUGGUGUGCUUGGGCCCAGAACACUUUGGGAGGAGCUGCCAAAAUCAUUCAGACAAGCACCUGGGGGAAUUUCCGUUGUCCCCAAAGUACCUUUUAAUUUGAAAAUAAUUAGGAGGCAGGUCAGAGGGUUUUUCAUCACUUGGCAGCGGGUGACAGUGCCUGGUCUUGGAGAGCCACUCUAUGCAGUUAUAGGCUCCAAUUAGGUGUGAGAAGAGGUUACUGCUGCCUGCCAGCUGGGGGAGAGCCAGGCAGCCUGUCAUCUCUUGUCUCAUAAAUACCAGGGGCUCCAGCACCAGGCCCAGAAAGACCAAUGACACCAUUCAUCACAUAAAACUUGCCAAACACCGGAGGAAGCUCACAGGUUCUGCAGCAAAUCUUUUCACCCAAGGGCCUGAGAUGACACCACUCAGAGAUUUCUGCAAGUAGAGAUGCAGGUGAUAUAGCCAGUAUAAGAGGACAGUCCGUUUCUGAGUUCCACCAAAAAGAAAUAUGAACAGAGAAGACUUUACUGAUGAUUUUGGAGCAGAAAUGGACUCUCAUGACACAGCAAGGCAAGGAACUUCAUAUGCAGGGCAGCCCCCAGCACCUCUUCAACAGCCUGUGAGCCCUCACGAUUGGGCUGUUUGACCUGGUUCUCACCUCUCUGAACUUUGUGCUUUCUCCUUCCUCCUUCCAUUCCUUCCCUUGUCUUCCCCCUUCAUCUCCAAAGCAAAAGCAAAUUUCUCUCCAUGUCCUGUGCAGGCCAGUUUUACUUUAUUCUUUGAAGUUCUAUGGCCAAAAAACACCCAGGCCCUCAGGGUCCCCAAAACAUUUCCAAACAACAGCUAUCAAGAUAAUAAAAUAAGGCUUUCAAGCAAUUUAUAAAUAUUGCCUAAUAGAAAGUCUUCUCAACCCUGUCCUACAUCAAGAGAAAGUGAAUGUUUUGAUACUCAGAGGCAAAGUCAAAAUACAAACGAGUUUUCAGCUCCUCAGCCUGGUUCUCUAACACACAGUGUGAAUAUUGGGGAAAACCCUCCUCAACUUACAAACCUCCAGAUCAGAAUGUUCCCUCAGACACGUGCUCCCAGGGCAGGAGAAGUUCCUUUUCACCUCCCAUCGCUUCUUCUCUCAUUUUCCUUCCCUCUCCCGAAGGACAAACCCAACCACAAGGUGACCUAGGCCACGGAGUCAGGGGUGCAUCUCUCCAGCUCUGCGACUGCCUCUCACCCUCAACUCAUCCCCCAUCUCCUGCCCUUGCUGGCAGUGGAGCAGACCCGCUGAUGUGAGCAGGCGGAGAGCAAAGGGUAGUCUCUCAGCGCAGGAGGUGGCCGUGAGGACAGGGCCCCAGAGAGCGGGCAGCGUGGGGAUAAGAUGGCCAUGAUCCCACACUGCAGGACUACUGGCCACACCGCCUCUGCGCCUGAAUUUGAGGAUAUGGUGUCACUAUUUCGGGGUAUGUCAAGCGAGUGCCUUAAGCACUUUGAUAAUUUAAAAUCCUAAUUGACUUUUUCCUUCACAUCAAUUGCAGGGAAGUGAUACCCUUUCUGGGAUGGGAUUACUUCUUUCUUUGAUUGGCAGCCUGAGGCAAGUCUCUCCCCAGAACUCUGGGUUCCCUGUCAACAAUUAGCAGCGGAACCUGCAGAAUCCUAUGGAAUGUUAAUGUGGGGCUGCCUGCACUUGCCAGCUGGUUGUCUUCACCACAAACCUUUAAUUUCCUAGUACCCCGUUCUCCUUUAACCCCAUCCCUCCCCAGACCAAUACAAGCAUCUGAAGGUAAAUAAACCCAUCAAGGGAGCUCAUAACCCUAAACACCUCCAUUUUAUUGAAGCCAGUAAAACAGGCCAGUUAAACUUUCCCAACGCUCUUCGACUGCCACCCCCCAAACCGAAAAAUAUCCCAGCUCUGUCUUCAAUGUAUCUCUUUUACUUGUUAAAAAUAGAUGUUCCUGGAUCUAGUAUGUAUUGCAAAAAUAAAACUCAUUUGCAAAACCAACAAAGGACUUAAGACAUUGCAUUUCCAUCGAUCUGAACGGGACGAGUGCAAACAGAUUCAGCAUUGAGCUGCCACAGCUUGAUGAUAUUAACCUCAACAUGCUAUGGUUGUGACAAAAGGGUACAAGAUGAAUAAAGCCUAAGGAGGUAAUGUAUAACAUGGUGACCAGAGUUGACAAAACUGUAUUGCAUAAUUGAAA